This 468-nucleotide ribosomal RNA is filed under the name uncultured bacterium. RNAcentral describes it as "partial 16S ribosomal RNA". It matches the Rfam family "Bacterial small subunit ribosomal RNA", at positions 28 to 507 of the family's 1533-position model. The record is from RNAcentral.
GACGAACGCUGGCGGCGUGCUUAACACAUGCAAGUCGAACGGAAAGGCCCUGCUUUUGUGGGGUGCUCGAGUGGCGAACGGGUGAGUAACACGUGAGUAACCUGCCCUUGACUUUGGGAUAACUUCAGGAAACUGGGGCUAAUACCGGAUAGGAGCUCCUGCUGCAUGGUGGGGGUUGGAAAGUUUCGGCGGUUGGGGCUGGACUCGCGGCUUAUCAGCUUGUUGGUGGGGUAGGGGCUUACAAAGGCUUUGAAGGGUAGCCGGCCUGAGAGGGUGACCGGCGACAAUGGGACUGCGAGACGGACCAGAAUCCUACGGGCGGCAGUAGUGGGGAAUAUUGCACAAUGGGCGGAAGCCUGAUGCAGCAACGCCGCGUGCGGGAUGACGGCUUUCGGGUUGUAAACCGCUUUCGCCUGUGACGAAGCGUGAGUGACGGUAAUGGGUAAAGAAGCACCGGCUAACUACGUG